GGCCCCGUCGUCUAGUCUGGCCUAGGACACCGGACUUUCGAUCCGGUAACAGGGGUUCAAAUCCCCUCGGGGUCA
RNAcentral lists this transfer RNA (75 nucleotides) under Planctomycetota bacterium. RNAcentral's name for it is "Planctomycetes bacterium tRNA-Glu". It matches the Rfam family "tRNA". From Rfam's summary of the family: Transfer RNA (tRNA) molecules are approximately 80 nucleotides in length. Their secondary structure includes four short double-helical elements and three loops (D, anti-codon, and T loops). Further hydrogen bonds mediate the characteristic L-shaped molecular structure. tRNAs have two regions of fundamental functional importance: the anti-codon, which is responsible for specific mRNA codon recognition, and the 3' end, to which the tRNAs corresponding amino acid is attached (by aminoacyl-tRNA synthetases). tRNAs cope with the degeneracy of the genetic code in two manners: having more than one tRNA (with a specific anti-codon) for a particular amino acid; and 'wobble' base-pairing, i.e. permitting non-standard base-pairing at the 3rd anti-codon position. Lineage: Bacteria; Pseudomonadati; Planctomycetota. The record is from RNAcentral.